GGUUGUGUAGUGUAAUGGUUAUCACAUUGGAUUCUGAUGAAUUCAUUCAUUCUUUCCAAUAAUCUGAGUUCGAUUCUCAGCACGACCU
Cryphonectria parasitica EP155 is the source of this 88-nucleotide non-coding RNA. NCBI's taxonomy places the organism in Eukaryota, Fungi, Ascomycota, Sordariomycetes, Diaporthales, Cryphonectriaceae. The record is from the annotation of a RefSeq genome assembly.